GAUGAAGAACGCAGCGAAAUGCGAUAAGUAGUGUGAAUUGCAGAAUUCAGUGAAUCAUUGAAUCUUUGAACGCACAUUGCGCCCCUUGGUAUUCCAUGGGGCAUGCCUGUUCGAGCGUCAUUUGUACCUUCAAGCUUUGCUUGGUGUUGGGUGUUUGUCUCGCCUUUGCGUGUAGACUCGCCUUAAAAUAAUUGGCAGCCGGCGUAUUGAUUUCGGAGCGCAGUACAUCUCGCGCUUUGCACUCAUAACGACAGCGUCCAAAAGUACAUUUUACACUCUUGACCUCGGAUCAGGUAGGGAUACCCGCUGAACUUAAGCAUAUCAAUAAGCGGAGGA
This 336-nucleotide unclassified non-coding RNA is filed under the name soil metagenome. RNAcentral's name for it is "partial contains 5.8S ribosomal RNA, internal transcribed spacer 2, and large subunit ribosomal RNA". The stretch from base 1 to 120 matches the Rfam family "5.8S ribosomal RNA", at positions 35 to 154 of the family's 154-position model. The record is from RNAcentral.